GGAAGGCAGCCGAAUACGGUUCGUCGGGCCGGUCUGCUACACCGUGCGGCGUGCAAAAUGCCUUGUGGGUUCGAAUCCCACGCCUUCCG
RNAcentral lists this transfer RNA (89 nucleotides) under bacterium. RNAcentral describes it as "tRNA-Ser". It matches the Rfam family "tRNA". From Rfam's summary of the family: Transfer RNA (tRNA) molecules are approximately 80 nucleotides in length. Their secondary structure includes four short double-helical elements and three loops (D, anti-codon, and T loops). The record is from RNAcentral.